GACGAACGCUGGCGGCGUGCAUAAUACAUGCAAGUUGAGCGCUGAAGGUUGGUACUUGUACCAACUGGAUGAGCAGCGAACGGGUGAGUAACGCGUGGGGAAUCUGCCUUUGAGCGGGGGACAACAUUUGGAAACGAAUGCUAAUACCGCAUAAAAACUUUAAACACAAGUUUUAAGUUUGAAAGAUGCAAUUGCAUCACUCAAAGAUGAUCCCGCGUUGUAUUAGCUAGUUGGUGAGGUAAAGGCUCACCAAGGCGAUGAUACAUAGCCGACCUGAGAGGGUGAUCGGCCACAUUGGGACUGAGACACGGCCCAAACUCCUACGGGAGGCAGCAGGAGGGAAUCUUCGGCAAUGGACGAAAGUCUGACCGAGCAACGCCGCGUGAGUGAAGAAGGUUUUCGGAUCGUAAAACUCUGUUGGUAGAGAAGAACGUUGGUGAGAGUGGAAAGCUCAUCAAGUGACGGUAACUACCCAGAAAGGGACGGCUAACUACGUG
Molecule: ribosomal RNA, 497 nt
Filed under: uncultured bacterium
Lineage: Bacteria
Description: partial 16S ribosomal RNA
Rfam family: Bacterial small subunit ribosomal RNA
Source: RNAcentral